GAUGAACGCUGGCGGCGUGCUUAACACAUGCAAGUCGAACGAAGCACUUUAUUUGAUUUCCUUCGGGACUGAUUAUUUUGUGACUGAGUGGCGGACGGGUGAGUAACGCGUGGGUAACCUGCCUUGUACAGGGGGAUAACAUUUGGAAACGGCUGCUAAUCCCGCAUAAGCGCCCAGCAUCGCAUGAUGCAGUGUGAAAAACUCCGGUGGUAUAGGAUGGACCCGCGUUGGAUUAGCUAGUUGGUGAGGUAACGGCCCACCAAGGCGACGAUCCAUAGCCGAGCUGAGAGGGUGACCGGCCACAUUGGGACUGAGACACGGCCCAAACUCCUACGGGAGGCAGCAGUGGGGAAUAUUGCACAAUGGGCGAAAGCCUGAUGCAGCCACGCCGCGUGAGCGAUGAAGUAUGUCGGUAUGUAAAGCUCUAUCAGCAGGGAAGAUAAUGACGGUACCUGAAUAAGAAGCCCCGGCUAACUACGUG
This 481-nucleotide ribosomal RNA is filed under the name uncultured bacterium. RNAcentral's name for it is "partial 16S ribosomal RNA". It matches the Rfam family "Bacterial small subunit ribosomal RNA", at positions 28 to 507 of the family's 1533-position model. The record is from RNAcentral.